UCUGUAUGGUAGUAUAAUAUAUAGUCUAGUCUGCCCCCUGAAAAUUUUAAAGGGCCGCGGUAUUCUGACCGUGCUAAGGUAGCAUAAUAAAUAGUCUUUUAAUUGAGGUCUGGUAUGAAUGGCUGGACAUGAAGCUAGCUGUUUCAAUUGUAAAAAUUGAACUUUACUUUUAAGUGAAAAGGCUUAAAUUUGAGGGGGGGACGAUAAGACCCUAUAAAGCUUUAUAUUUUAUUUGAGAAUUAAAUAAUGUAAGGUUUUUAACUAUCUUUGAAUGAAAUAUUUCGUUGGGGCGACGAGAAUAAAAAUAAAUAACUGUUCUUAUAACUAAAUAAAUAUAAUUAGCUAGGUUGAUCCUUUGUAAAGAUUAAAAGAUUUGAGUUACUUUAGGGAUAACAGCGUAAUUUUUUUUGAGAGUUCAUAUCGACAAAAAUAGUUGCGACCUCGAUGUUGAAUUAAGAUAUUUCCAAGGUGUAGAAGUUUUGGUAGUGGGUCUGUUCGACCUUUAAAAUC
This 510-nucleotide ribosomal RNA is filed under the name Caridina serratirostris. RNAcentral describes it as "partial 16S ribosomal RNA". It matches the Rfam family "Bacterial large subunit ribosomal RNA", at positions 1822 to 2595 of the family's 2925-position model. The record is from RNAcentral. Lineage: Eukaryota; Metazoa; Arthropoda; Malacostraca; Decapoda; Atyidae.